GUCACUUUGCUUCUUUGGCAAAUGUGAGAUGCAGUGUAUGGAACAUCGUAAAUCUGGUAUGAGAAAUUGACGAUUUAAGUCCUUCUUAAAUGAGGCCAUUUACCCAUAGAGGGUGCCAGGCCCGUAUAACGUCAAUGAUUACUAGAGGGUGUUUCCAAAGAGUCGUGUUGCUUGAUAGUGCAGCACUAAGUGGGUGGUAAACUCCAUCUAAAACUAAAUAUAACCAUGAGACCGAUAGUAAACAAGUACCGUGAGGGAAAGUUGAAAAGAACUCUGAAUAGAGAGUUAAAUAGUACGUGAAACUGCUUAGAGGUUAAGCCCGAUGAACCUGAAUAUCCAUUGUGGAAAAUUCAUCAUUGUGAAUGCGGUAUUUAAACAAUACUGCAGUAACGGUGUGCAUUUUUUCCGCAUAAGGACAUUGUAAUCUAUUAACAAUAUGUGUAUUUAUCAAAAGAUCAUCUGCAAUGGUUUGUUCAAAUUAGAUUUGCUCGCAUUUCUAACACAGGACAAAUGCACGGUGAUUGGAUAAAGCGUUGAUAGAUUUUUUCUGUAUAGUGCUUAAAUUCUUCGGAAUUUUCGGAAUGACAUCGGACCCAUUGGGUCUGUGUGUUCAUGCGAUGCGCUUAUAUGAUUGACAAUUCG
RNAcentral lists this ribosomal RNA (642 nucleotides) under Copromyza sp. JHK-2012. RNAcentral's name for it is "eukaryotic LSU rRNA". It matches the Rfam family "Eukaryotic large subunit ribosomal RNA", at positions 118 to 628 of the family's 3401-position model. The record is from RNAcentral. Lineage: Eukaryota; Metazoa; Arthropoda; Insecta; Diptera; Sphaeroceridae.